UACGAAGGGGGCUAGCGUUGUUCGGAAUCACUGGGCGUAAAGAGCGCGUAGGCGGCUAGAUAAGUCCGGUGUGAAAGUCACAGGCUCAACCUGUGAAUGCCGCUGGAAACUGUCUGGCUAGAGUCCGGAAGGGGCGAGUGGAAUUCCUGGUGUAGCGGUGAAAUGCGCAGAUAUCAGGAGGAACACCAAUGGCGAAGGCAGCUCGCUGGGACGGUACUGACGCUGAGGCGCGAAAGCGUGGGGAGCAAACAGG
This 253-nucleotide ribosomal RNA is filed under the name uncultured bacterium. RNAcentral describes it as "partial 16S ribosomal RNA". It matches the Rfam family "Bacterial small subunit ribosomal RNA", at positions 524 to 776 of the family's 1533-position model. The record is from RNAcentral.